GGGUCUGUAGCUCAGUUGGUCAGAGCGCACCCCUGAUAAGGGUGAGGUCGGAAGUUCAAGUCUUCCCAGACCCACCA
This 77-nucleotide transfer RNA is filed under the name SAR86 cluster bacterium. RNAcentral's name for it is "tRNA-Ile". It matches the Rfam family "tRNA". From Rfam's summary of the family: Transfer RNA (tRNA) molecules are approximately 80 nucleotides in length. Their secondary structure includes four short double-helical elements and three loops (D, anti-codon, and T loops). Further hydrogen bonds mediate the characteristic L-shaped molecular structure. tRNAs have two regions of fundamental functional importance: the anti-codon, which is responsible for specific mRNA codon recognition, and the 3' end, to which the tRNAs corresponding amino acid is attached (by aminoacyl-tRNA synthetases). tRNAs cope with the degeneracy of the genetic code in two manners: having more than one tRNA (with a specific anti-codon) for a particular amino acid; and 'wobble' base-pairing, i.e. permitting non-standard base-pairing at the 3rd anti-codon position. Lineage: Bacteria; Pseudomonadati; Pseudomonadota; Gammaproteobacteria. RNAcentral also lists the same sequence under 1 other name. The record is from RNAcentral.